UUGCUCGCACAGCAUAUACACACAACUGUGGACUGAUGCAGAGAAGACGAGCAUGGUCCCAUCACAAAGAUAACAUGCAAACUCAUGAAGAGUUCCGUAUUUUC
Molecule: small nuclear RNA, 104 nt
Filed under: Catagonus wagneri (Chacoan peccary)
Lineage: Eukaryota; Metazoa; Chordata; Mammalia; Artiodactyla; Tayassuidae
Source: RNAcentral